This 2295-nucleotide long non-coding RNA is filed under the name Prunus dulcis (almond). The record is from RNAcentral. Lineage: Eukaryota; Viridiplantae; Streptophyta; Magnoliopsida; Rosales; Rosaceae.
CCGCACUAAAAAAGACUAUUAUUCGUUCGCUCCAGAUUUUUCAUUUUUAUCCUGCUUACAAUUUAUCCUUCGUCUCGUUUUGCGAUGGCCUCCGCCGAGAUCGCGGAGAUUGAGUUCCGAUAGUUCGGCGGUGAGCUCCUCUGGACCACCGACAAUGAGGCACUGGAGAGGGCCUUUUCCUCCUCCUGUGAAAGAUAUCGAAUCGAAGAUCAUCGAGGACGGUCAGAUCGGUAGGUCGAGGUGCUUCGGAUUCGUUACCAGCAACAUGCGAAUGCGAUCCAAGGAGGCCAGAACCUUGAUUUGAGGGUUAGUGUUCUUCUCCAAUGUUAGAGCGGGUGUUCUUUUGCGAUCUUUGUGUUAGCUAAUUUUAUAUUGCGAUGUUAGGGUUAGCUAGCGCUCUUUUUCCAUUGCGAUAUUAGCGUUGUUUUGCGAUUGCUAGGGUUAGAUAACUUUCUUUUGUGGUUGCAAUGGUAGGGUUAAUUAGCGUUCUUUGCGAUUGCAGUGUUAGGGUUAGCUAGUGUUCUUUUGCGAUUGCGAUGUUAGGGCGAGCUAGUGUUCUUCCGUGAUGUUAGUGUUUUUCUGUAUAAAUGAUAGAGGGGCUUUGCAUGUAUCAGGUGUGGCUUUUUGCAAUGUUGUUUAUAAACCGUGGCCCAUAGACUUAAGUGAAAAUAAUGUCGUUUGUUGCAGACAUCUGGUCUUUUUGGUUGUGGUGCCCUUGCUCAUGUUGGUGUGAUGGACUUGCAGUGGUUCCCACGAAUGUACCAUAGGUUAGUUUACAUAUUUUUGCAACAUGGUUUGAUGUAUAAACAUUUGGCUUAUCCUUCCUUCUCCUCCCAUCUAUUUCUGGUAAUCACUUUUUCAUUAUGUCAGGUGACCAUGGGAACAACAUGGGAGGCAACCUCACCACUAGCUUUCCAGAUCACGAUGACCUAUUUGCACCAUUACACCUUUUGUAGUUAUUAAAGGUUGGUCUCUAUCAACAUAGUCAAUAUAUUUAUUGAAUGGGAAUAUAAAUGCUAGUUUUGAUGCUCAACAUGUGCCAAGACUACCAUAUUCAGUUCUGGUGUCAAUGGUUGAACAUUCAUAAUAUUUAGUACAGUAAUUCUAUGUAUGAUAUUAUAUCUCAUAGUAACUGCUGUUAUGGAUCUCUUAUCAUUUUCAUUACCCAUUGACAAUUACCUUUUUUGGUUACGUAACAAAAUUGAAAAGUACUGUUUAUCUUUAAUUUGAUUGUAUUGCUGAAGAUUAAGAGGUUUUCAUUAUUAUGUUGAUAAAAAGGUUAUAAAUAUAAAAUAUUUUUCAUUGCCACAUGUUGUAUUCUGAUUCACCAAUUGUAGCAUUUUUGGUGGUCAUUCCCACCCCAAAUAUUCUUCCAAAAAGUUUUCUACGUCUUGUAUUUUAACUAAAUAAAAAAUCUCUUCCUAUUGGCUUAUUUUAUUGGUGUGACAAGUUUGACGUCCUGUCAUAUUUCGUAGUUGGUAUACAUAAAUAUUAAUAUGAUAAGACAUCCUAUCAGCUUCGUUAAAUACUUCAUUCUUUGAAGAUAUCAAAAACUUCAAUUUUUUGUUUAUAUGAUAAAACACUCCAAUUUAUUCCUUUAAGAUUUCGUAUUAACCCUGCAACCUUUAGAAUGUUCAACUGCCUAAAGUUUGUUAAGGCCCAUCUUAUAUUUGUGAAAUUUCUGCUUAUCACCACUAUGGUUUUGACUUUUUCUGCUUUACAAGUGGAGUCAGAACACGAGCACUACUGUGAUUUUAAUGGAAGAGUAGCUUCCAAAGUUCACAUUUAUGGAGCUAAACUAUUAAAUUUUCAGUAUGAAAAGAUUUUACCCUUAAUGUUAUUUAUUCAUAUAUGUUUUACGUAUGAAAGAUCUGCCAUAAUGUUAUGAAAUUUUGAUAUGACCCCUUUAUUAAGCAAACCAUUUAAAUGGUUAUAAAAUUAUUCAUUAGAUAUAUUUUGGGGUUAGGGUUCCGUCUUGUAGUACAAAAUGGGCAAUGGUGUAUGUCCUUUGUGAUCUGUGGGGAUCCUUUUCUCUUCAUCUUCUUCUUCUAGGUUCUGUUCGUGGCGAUAUUAGCAGUCUUUAUAAUGUGGCAAACAUAUGCUUCAGGAAUCAGAACAGAUUUUGAAUUGCAAACGAAUGAGAAUUUAUGGGUUAUAGGCAUUCACAGUGAUAUGUUGUUUCAUUUCUUCACAUAAUUUUAACUAGUCAUUGAUGGAACUGAUAUCAAGGCUUUCUUUUGCAGAAUUCGCACUGCCAGACAAAUAAUUUAACUAGUGGUUUCUCACUGAAUCAGG